AGCAGCCGCGGUAAUUCCAGCUCCAAUAGCGUAUAUUAAAGUUGUUGCAGUUAAAAAGCUCGUAGUUGAAUUUCGGGAUCAAUAUAUCGGUCGUGCCUUGGUACGUACUGGUAUCAUUGGUUUCUCCUUUCUGACGAACCAUGAUGUCAUUAAUUUGGUGUUAUGGGAAGUUAGGACUGUUACUUUGAAAAAAUUAGAGUGUUUAAAGCAGGCUCACGCUUGAAUACAUUAGCAUGGAAUAAUGAAAUAGGACGUUUGAUUCUAUUUUGUUGGUUUCUAGGAUCGACGUAAUGAUUAAUAGGGAUAGUUGGGGGCAUUAGUAUUCAAUUGUCAGAGGUGAAAUUCUUGGAUUUAUUGAAGACUAACUACUGCGAAAGCAUUUGCCAAGGAUGUUCUCAUUAAUCAAGAACGAAAGUUAGGGGAUCGAAGACGAUCAGAUAUCGUCGUAGUCUUAACCAUAAACUAUGCC
This 469-nucleotide unclassified non-coding RNA is filed under the name uncultured Glomus. Its description in RNAcentral is "SSU rRNA". It matches the Rfam family "Eukaryotic small subunit ribosomal RNA", at positions 569 to 1043 of the family's 1831-position model. Lineage: Eukaryota; Fungi; Glomeromycota; Glomeromycetes; Glomerales; Glomeraceae. The record is from RNAcentral.